RNAcentral lists this ribosomal RNA (497 nucleotides) under uncultured bacterium. RNAcentral's name for it is "partial 16S ribosomal RNA". It matches the Rfam family "Bacterial small subunit ribosomal RNA", at positions 28 to 507 of the family's 1533-position model. The record is from RNAcentral.
GAUGAACGCUGGCGGCGUGCCUAAUACAUGCAUGUCGAGCGAACAGAUGAGGAGCUUGCUCCUCUGACGUUAGCGGCGGACGGGUGAGUAACACGUGGAUAACCUACCUAUAAGACUGGGAUAACUUCGGGAAACCGGAGCUAAUACCGGAUAAUAUAUUGAACCGCAUGGUUCAAUAGUGAAAGACGGUUUUGCUGUCACUUAUAGAUGGAUCCGCGCCGCAUUAGCUAGUUGGUAAGGUAACGGCUUACCAAGGCGACGAUGCGUAGCCGACCUGAGAGGGUGAUCGGCCACACUGGAACUGAGACACGGUCCAGACUCCUACGGGAGGCAGCAGUAGGGAAUCUUCCGCAAUGGGCGAAAGCUUGACGGAGCAACGCCGCGUGAGUGAUGAAGGUCUUCGGAUCGUAAAACUCUGUUAUUAGGGAAGAACAAAUGUGUAAGUAACUAUGCACGUCUUGACGGUACCUAAUCAGAAAGCCACGGCUAACUACGUG